RNAcentral lists this ribosomal RNA (576 nucleotides) under uncultured eukaryote. Its description in RNAcentral is "SSU rRNA". It matches the Rfam family "Eukaryotic small subunit ribosomal RNA", at positions 203 to 790 of the family's 1831-position model. The record is from RNAcentral.
UAUUUAUUAGAUAACAGACCAAUAUUCCUCGUGUCUAUUGUGGUGACUCAUAGUAACUGAUCGGAUCGCAUGGCCUUGUGCCGCGACUAACCAUUCAAGUUUCUGACCCAUCAGCUUUCGAUGGUAGUGUAUUGGACUACCAUGGCUUUCACGGGUAACGGAGGAUUAGGGUUCGAUUCCGGAGAGGGAGCCUGAGAAACGGCUACCACAUCUAAGGAAGGCAGCAGGCGCGUAAAUUACCCAAUCCUGACUCAGGGAGGUAGUGACAAGAAAUAACGGGUCGGGGCAUUCGCCUCGGGAUUGCAAUGAAUCGAAUUUACACCCCUUAAUGAGGAUCAAUUGGAGGGCAAGUCUGGUGCCAGCAGCCGCGGUAAUUCCAGCUCCAAUAGCGUAUAUUAAAGUUGUUGCAGUUAAAAAGCUCGUAGUUUGAUUUCUGGACGGGCGCCAACACCCGCUUGUUUAGUGUGGAGGCGGCGCCCGCCCAUCCUUCUGUUAACGCCACCGGCAUUCGUUUGCUGGCGGCGGGCUCAGAUAUUUUACCUUGAGAAAAAUUAUAGUGUUUCAGGCAGGCUUGUG